CUUUCUUCUCUAUCACUUUCCCCAUCCCCAUCACUUCGUCCCACUGUGCCCGAGAUAUCUCCUUCCUUCUCUUCAUCCAACGACCAAGAAAUUAAACCAGAAGUUGUCUAUAAGAAAUGCGUAUAUAUUUUGAGCCGAAUACCUGAACUGAAGUUUGGAAGCAGAUGGCUUGGUGAUACCGGUAGAUAAGAAGGGGUUCAGGUGGUGCUCUUCCUCUUCCUCUUCUUCUUCCCCUUGUACUCUUCCUCUUCUUCCUGUUGGAGUCUUAGCCGGUGAGUCCAUCACUGGAUUCCGAACGCCCUCGGAGAGAGUACCACGUCAAAGCUUCGGCAGGUCAAGGGCAAGGAUUUGCCGGGCCUCGGGCUACAUUAAAUCUCUAUAUAAUUUUCAACUGGCCAACCCAGGGCAGCCCAAUGCAUUUGGGGGCUAAGACAAACUCACUGGAGGAGGUAUUUUUUUUAAAAAAAUGAUAAUUUUUUUUAAUAAAUAUAAAAUACAUUAAAAAUUUAUUUAAAAAUAAUUCGUCUAGCUUUUUGAGAUGUAAAAUUACUAAACAAACUUUUGUACUCAAUAUUCAUUAAAAUACUAUUUUCAAUCUCAUGGAGUUUUUUUUUUUCAAGUAGGAAAGCAACUCAUGUUAACAAUAAUAACAUAAAUGAAUCACUAAAUUUAGACAAUAAUAUAUCCAAGAAAAAACUCCAGAACACAGAAAACACACAUAUCUAAACAGUCGUAAGAAAUUAAUUCACAACAUAUUCAUGAAUUUUAAAAAAACAGGUAACCUAGAUUUUACUAGACCCAAUCAACCAAGUUAAAAAGAGCUUAAGAACUCGAUGCAUAAAAUAAUGAGAAUAUGUUACAAGGGAAAGAAAAGGAUUAGGAAAAGAAGAAUCAUAAGUACAGAUUCUCAUAGACAAGUAAUAUCUGGCCUCGAGUGAAGUAAAAGAUACAGAAAAGGAGGAGAUGGACAAGUACUGAAGUACACCUUCGUUCCUUGAUGCCCACAAAUACAGCAUCUCUCAAGGUACCAUACCAUAUGCUUUCUCCAAUUUAACAUGAGCUCGUUUUCAGUUUUCUUAUCUUGUUCCAUCACACUCUUUAGUAUCAUACUCUAUAUUGUUGAUUCAAUUCCACAAAAGUUGGUACAAUUAUGUGCAUAACUCUUACAAAAAAAUGACAUGGAAAUUGCUUUAUGUAACCAACCAUAACCAUGGAAAAUCAAGAUUCCAAGAAAAUGAAAAUUCUUGAGUUGUUUUAUCACUAAUGACCGAAAAAUCUGCCCAAUGGACUAAUAACACUGUUUGCAGAAAUUUUCACCAAAAACAGAACAAUCGUGCACCUUUAGCAGGAGACUAAAUAAAUCCUUCUUUUAUUUAAACAUCAAAAGGCAAAAGGAACGAAAAAGAACAACAAAAAGAGAGAGGACGCCACUGAAACAGAGGAAUUUAAGGCCGAGGAGGAAGCCGAGAUGGUGAGAUAAGGUGGAGGCACGGCUUCACCAGGAAGUUGGAAGAUAAAAAAAGUUCCGAGCAAGACGAUUAGAACUUAGAAGAGAAGAGAGACUCUUCGCCCUCCCUAAAGCGGAUCGGAAGACUAGAUAAGGAGAAGAAGAGAGAGAGAGAGAGAGAGAGAGAGAGAGAGAGAGAGAGAGAGAGAGAGUANNNNNNNNNNNNNNNNNNNNAGGUCAAGGGCAAGGAUUUGCCGGGCCUCGGGAGAGAGAGAGAGAGAGAGAGAGAGAGAGAGAGAGGAGAGAGAGUUAUAUCAAGAUCCAGAAUGGAAGACGACGACGCCGCGCUGGAGAAGAGUGGGUGUUUUUACUAUUUCACGGCGGGGGUUUGGGAACGGCACGGGUUCCUCUGUUUCAGUGAAAUAGCUCUACGCCUCCAGGGACUUUCAAGUAAACGCGUCCAAAAAACAAUAUAAAAAAUAGAAAAUUUGCGAGGAAGACCUUAAUCAUUUGACGGAGAUAUGGUGUUCGGUGGAAUCUUUAUUGCCGAAGGCUGGACUGGUCGAGAGAGGAGACCGUCGAGACGGGAGUAGACGAGGGGGCGGAAACGAGAAGCCUUGUCGCCGUUGUCGGGGUGAGCAGAUGGCCGGUGGCCUGGCGGGGUGGCGGGUUAUCGAGUUGAGGCGAGGAGGAGAAGCCCUACUUCCCUUCCUAAUCGGAGAGACAUGCUAGGGAUCCAAGGGGUGGGAUAGGGAAUUAAUCUUGGAAAAUAUUAAGGACACCUCAGGUAGUAUGAUUGGGUUCGGGCCGGAGCCGGACUGGGUCAUUGUAAACACAAGCCCGAACUGUUCAAAGGAGCCUAAGCUCAUCCAAAAUGUGCGGAGCUCGAGUAGGCCGCGCAAGAUUUGAGCAGCAGC
Molecule: long non-coding RNA, 2364 nt
Filed under: Phoenix dactylifera (date palm)
Lineage: Eukaryota; Viridiplantae; Streptophyta; Magnoliopsida; Arecales; Arecaceae
Description: long non-coding RNA (PDAC_LNC003911)
Source: RNAcentral